CGCUUCGGUGACCUAGUGGUUAGAGCGUCUGCCUCGGAUGCAAAAAGUCGUGGGUUCGAUCCCCGGCCAAGUCA
Molecule: non-coding RNA, 74 nt
Organism: Potamilus streckersoni
Lineage: Eukaryota; Metazoa; Mollusca; Bivalvia; Unionida; Unionidae
Source: the annotation of a GenBank genome assembly